RNAcentral lists this ribosomal RNA (439 nucleotides) under uncultured bacterium. RNAcentral describes it as "partial 16S ribosomal RNA". It matches the Rfam family "Bacterial small subunit ribosomal RNA", at positions 339 to 795 of the family's 1533-position model. The record is from RNAcentral.
CUACGGGCGGCAGCAGUGAGGAAUAUUGCACAAUGGGGGGAACCCUGAUGCAGCAACGCCGCGUGGAGGAUGACGCAUUUCGGUGUGUAAACUCCUUUUAUAUGUCAAGAAAAUGACGGUAGCAUAUGAAUAAGCACCGGCUAACUCCGUGCCAGCAGCCGCGGUAAUAAGGAGGGUGCAAGCGUUACUCGGAAUCACUGGGCGUAAAGGACGCGUAGGCGGGUUGGAAAGUCAGGUGUGAAAUCCUACAGCUUAACUGUAGAACUGCACUUGAAACUUCUAAUCUAGAGUAUGGGAGGGGGAGAUGGAAUUAGUGGUGUAGGGGUAAAAGCCGUAGAUAUCACUAGGAAUACCUAAAACGAAGGCGAUCUCCUGGAACAUUACUGACGCUAAGGCGUGAAAGCGUGGGGAGCAAACAGGAUUAGAUACCCGCGUAGUC